This 253-nucleotide ribosomal RNA is filed under the name uncultured bacterium. RNAcentral's name for it is "partial 16S ribosomal RNA". It matches the Rfam family "Bacterial small subunit ribosomal RNA", at positions 524 to 776 of the family's 1533-position model. The record is from RNAcentral.
UACGUAGGGUGCAAGCGUUGUCCGGAAUUAUUGGGCGUAAAGAGCUCGUAGGCGGUUUGUCGCGUCGGCUGUGAAAACCCGCGGCUCAACUGUGGGCGGGCAGCUGAUACGGGCAGGCUGGAGUUCGGUAGGGGAGACUGGAAUUCCUGGUGUAGCGGUGAAAUGCGCAGAUAUCAGGAGGAACACCGGUGGCGAAGGCGGGUCUCUGGGCCGAUACUGACGCUGAGGAGCGAAAGCGUGGGGAGCGAACAGG